UCGCAAUGCGAUCGGUUGGUUGAAUGGUGGCUUUCUUUUGAACGCCAACUCACGUCGGAAGCAGACCACGCCCGGAUGCGGCCAGCCCAUUUUGUGCUUCCUGACUUCGAAUGACGUGAAAUGCCAAAUGUGUUUGCGACUCGUUCGAGAUCAACGACCAACUCCGACAACUUGGAUGACUUCUUCUAAGAGACAUUUGUCGCACGGCGUGAGCUCGCUUUUUAGCACAACAUGAAUACAAUUGAGUCAAAAUAAACACAGACACGCACUUUAAAUGGAUCAAUAGUACCCAUAAAUGAGUGACUCGUCUGUGUAGCCACCGUGAGAGGGAUUAACCCAGGGGUGCCGAAAGAUGUGGAACUCCUUUUUUUUUUUUUUUUUUUGGCCUGCCAUCACAGCUAUUUAUAUUGCCCUAAAUGGACUAAAAAGGGGAUGUAAUUCAGCGCGUUUUCAAUAGGGUGACUCCUCCAGGGGGAAAAUGAAGCGCAAGGUACCAUAUUUGGAACAUGAUGAAAUCUCCAGCGCGGUUACAAACGCACCAAAUAAAACUGCCAUCUCAAUGGAAAAAAAAAAAAAA
This is a long non-coding RNA of Hippocampus zosterae (dwarf seahorse), 577 nucleotides long. RefSeq lists it as uncharacterized. The record is from RefSeq and is a predicted model, not a curated record. The transcript has 2 exons. NCBI's taxonomy places the organism in Eukaryota, Metazoa, Chordata, Actinopteri, Syngnathiformes, Syngnathidae.